UACAGCCUGGUUACAGCCAGAUUACAGCCUGAUUACAGCCUGAUUACAGCCUGAUUACAGCCUGGUUACUGUCAGGUUACAGCCAGGUUACUGUCAGGUUACUGUCAGGUUACUGUCAGGUCACAGCCAGGUAACAGUCAGGUCACAGCCUGGUUACUGUCAGGUUACAGCCUGGUUACAGCCAGGUUACAGCCUGGUUACAGUCAGGUUACAGCCAGGUUAC
Solea senegalensis (Senegalese sole) is the source of this 223-nucleotide long non-coding RNA. RefSeq lists it as uncharacterized. The record is from RefSeq and is a predicted model, not a curated record. The transcript has 4 exons. NCBI's taxonomy places the organism in Eukaryota, Metazoa, Chordata, Actinopteri, Pleuronectiformes, Soleidae.